CCUACGGGAGGCAGCAGUGGGGAAUAUUGCACAAUGGGCGAAAGCCUGAUGCAGCAAAGCCGCGUGAGGGAUGAAGGCCCUCGGGUCGGAAAGCUCUGUCCUCCAGGAAGAAAAUGACGGUACGUGUGGAGGAAGCCGCGUCUAACAACGUGCCACCAGCCGCGGUAAUACGUAGGGGGCUAGCGUUAUCCGGAUUUACUGGGCGUAAAGGGGGCGUAGGUGGUUUCGUAAGUCAGAGGUGAAAGGCUACGGCUCAACCGUAGUCAGCCUUUGAAACUGGGGAACUUGAGUGCAGGAGAGGAGAGUGGAAUUCCUGGUGUAGCGGUGAAAUGCGUAGAUAUUAGGCGGAACACCAGUUGCGAAGGCGGCACUCCGGACUGUAACUGACGCUGAGGCACGAAAGCGUGGGGAGCAAACAGGAUUAGAUACCCCGGUAGUC
RNAcentral lists this ribosomal RNA (439 nucleotides) under uncultured bacterium. RNAcentral's name for it is "partial 16S ribosomal RNA". It matches the Rfam family "Bacterial small subunit ribosomal RNA", at positions 338 to 795 of the family's 1533-position model. The record is from RNAcentral.